AACAAACGCUGGCGGCGUGCCUAACACAUGCAAGUCGUACGAGAAAGUCCGCUUCGGUGGAUGAGUAAAGUGGCGCACGGGUGAGUAACACGUGGAUAAUCUACCCUUCAGUUUGGAAUAACGUACCGAAAGGUGCGCUAAUACCGGAUAAUAUCUCGAAUGCGCAGGCAUACGAGAUCAAAGAUGGCCUCUGCUUGCAAGCUAUCGCCGAAGGAUGAGUCCGCGUACCAUUAGCUAGUUGGCAGGGUAAUGGCCUACCAAGGCAACGAUGGUUAGCUGGUCUGAGAGGAUGAUCAGCCACACUGGAACUGAGACACGGUCCAGACCUCCUACGGGGAGCAGCAAGUGAGGAAUAUUGCGCAAUGGGGCAACCCUGACGCAGCAACGCCGCGUGAGUGAGGAAGGUUUUCGGACGUAAGCUCUGUCGAGCGGAAGAAUGUUUAUUGGUUAAUAUCCAGUAAGCUUGACGGUACCGCUAAAGGAA
This 484-nucleotide ribosomal RNA is filed under the name uncultured bacterium. Its description in RNAcentral is "bacterial SSU rRNA". It matches the Rfam family "Bacterial small subunit ribosomal RNA", at positions 29 to 489 of the family's 1533-position model. The record is from RNAcentral.